UUUAGUAAUAUUUAAUUUUAGUAAAUCAAGUUAAACUAGCCUAAAUUAAAAUAAGAAAUAUAUAUAGGCCGCGAAGAUUCCUGCAUCCAUUCAGGUGACGUAAUGAUUUGUAGCUGUUUGCGUAAUUGUUUUUGUUUAUAUUUGAAAUUCAAUUCAAUAUUCAAUCGAAACAUUCCAAGCAAGGCAGACGCAAGCCACAAACAAGAAAAUCACGAUAAGAGAAAGCUAAAUUAUCACCAUGUCUGGAGAUAAAUGUAAAACAAGACCGUGUGAUAAGACAUCUAGAACAAAACCUCAGCGUUUUUGGGACGCAUUAGGACCAUUUCCCAGGUCAGUGUGGAUUCAUCCCAGUACACCAGAAGACAGUCUGGACAGAACCUGUGGUAGAGUAUUGAAGCGCUCUGUUCUGGCCAGUAAGGGAGUUUGGCCGCAUUUACCAGAAAAUGCGCAUGUGUUUGCUGAAGACGGUGACAUCCAGAGCAACAGAGGACAUUACAGCAGUCUGUCCACUCCGAGCGCAGGGCAUCAAAAGUUGGACAAGGUCAUGUUAAUGACUCAGCAUAACAUGACCCAGACUCUACUGCAGGGGCAUGUUGAUGCCAUGUGUCCAUGUUUUCCUGAUGAUAGAUGCAGACAUGGUCAUGAACCUGACAAGACCAUAGAGAUCAUAAGCCACGAGGAGGCUGACAGAGAUAAAACUGAGGAGAUGCUUGAAGAAAUUCAACCUAAACAGGCCACAGGGAAAGCAGACAUCCCUGAGGGGCCCUUGGAAGAAGACUUUCCUCCACUUCCACCUCCUGCCUCACCACGGGUGGACAGGCCACCACAGCAAGCCCCCGUCAGUAAAAGUGGCUCCUAUAAAGCAACUGUCUUAAAAGGAAAACCAAAGAUCCAAUUGCAUGGCGGCAAACCACAGAGGGCACAAAAACUAAAUCAAAAAGAACAUCCAAGAGUCUCAGCUAAAACAUCCCCAAAAAUAGAAGCACAAACAGCCCAGGGCUUCAUUGACCAACCUAGUUCCCCCCAAACAGAAAGUGGAUGCGGAGAGAAAGUUAUAGUGGAAGAACAAAGUUCAUUACCAAGGUGUUCCCAUCUACCUGUGUUUGCAGACUUCCAAAUGGCAGAUGAGAAGAUAAUACCUAAAGAUAACACAUUUAAAGGUGAAGACGUGGAGUUGGGCAGAAGUGCAGAUGGUGCCCACAUGGCACAAACCCGGGCUGGCAGCGGGACUGGGAGCGUGCAGAAUGCAGCUGGGCCUCUUCACAAUGCCAAAUGCCAUAAAUACCACGAGGAUGCCACUGUUGCAAAGACAAAGGCCACAGGUCCAGGCUCUGACAUGUCAGUGCCAGAAAAUAUGGACAGGAUCCAGACUUGGAACAGAAGUGGAAGGUGUCCCCUACAAAACACCCAGUUCUUUACAGGAACGGGUCAUGGCACGUGGUCACUGCCGGCUAACUGCUUCCUGUGGUUCCCUGCACCUGAGGUGGACCCCUUGCAUAUGGUUGUCAACCCUCUAUUUUCCUCCAGUUUUCUGCCUCCCCCAGGAUUUGGCCUGAAUCCAUACUAUAUUGUUGGAGACUUCUCCCUGUGGCCUUAUCAACAUGGCAACUAUGUCAAUUUUCCAGACAAUGUAAACCCGUCAGCAGCGGGCAGACAGCGCUUCACGUGCCUGGCAAAUGUUCCUCCAGGGUUCACAUCGGCAGAUGCCUUCACAUUGUUCUGACAACCUGUUUUGUUCUACUCUUUUUGUUGUUUUGGCUCUUUUUACUGUUUCUGUUAAUCAUAAGUUGUCAUGUACUCCAUAUUGUAUAUGGACAGUAAAGCAGUUACCUCAGAUAAAAUGUGUUGUGUGAGCAUUUUAUUUUUAAGCAUGUAGGCUUCUCUAUCUGAAGGCUGUAAUUUGUAGGUCUGUCAUAUAUACAACAAAGCCAUUACAUCAAGGUAAUUCACUGGGAGAAAACAAGAUGGAAAUAAAUCAUAAACAGACAUUGAAAAAAAAAUUAUA
Long non-coding RNA from Cyprinus carpio (common carp), 2005 nucleotides. NCBI's taxonomy places the organism in Eukaryota, Metazoa, Chordata, Actinopteri, Cypriniformes, Cyprinidae. The record is from Ensembl.